CUGCGGAAGGAUCAUUACCUAGAGUUUGUGGGCUUUGCCCGCUACCUCUUACCCAUGUCUUUUGAGUACUUACGUUUCCUCGGCGGGUUCGCCCGCCGACUGGACAAAAUUAAACCCUUUGUAAUUGAAAUCAGCGUCUGAAAAACAUAAUAGUUACAACUUUCAACAACGGAUCUCUUGGUUCUGGCAUCGAUGAAGAACGCAGCGAAAUGCGAUAAGUAGUGUGAAUUGCAGAAUUCAGUGAAUCAUCGAAUCUUUGAACGCACAUUGCGCCCCUUGGUAUUCCAUGGGGCAUGCCUGUUCGAGCGUCAUUUGUACCUUCAAGCUAUGCUUGGUGUUGGGUGUUUGUCUCGCCUUUGCGUGUAGACUCGCCUCAAAACAAUUGGCAGCCGGCGUAUUGAUUUCGGAGCGCAGUACAUCUCGCGCUUUGCACUCAUAACGACGACGUCCAAAAGUACUUUUUACACUCUUGACCUCGGAUCAGGUAGGG
This 490-nucleotide ribosomal RNA is filed under the name Ascochyta medicaginicola. Its description in RNAcentral is "partial 18S ribosomal RNA". The stretch from base 158 to 311 matches the Rfam family "5.8S ribosomal RNA". Lineage: Eukaryota; Fungi; Ascomycota; Dothideomycetes; Pleosporales; Didymellaceae. The record is from RNAcentral.